GGUGUGAGGUGACACGUCCAGGUAUUCAAGCGAUUUCCUGUCGGGCUUGCAAGUUCAUGCAUCGUUUCACUUCUGCAGGUAUUGAUCAGUGUACACGGCUGAUAACUUAUAACUUUCCAUUUUGAACUAUCAGAUGAAUAAUAUACAACUCUGUCUUACUUGUCAUUACUAAACUCAUACGCUUGUUUAUAAAUAACAUUUCUGGUGUAAAGAAUAUAAUUCAUAAACAUAUAAAUAAUACCCCAAAAAUAAGAUUUGAU
RNAcentral lists this long non-coding RNA (260 nucleotides) under Mytilus galloprovincialis (Mediterranean mussel). The record is from RNAcentral. Lineage: Eukaryota; Metazoa; Mollusca; Bivalvia; Mytilida; Mytilidae.